Molecule: unclassified non-coding RNA, 235 nt
Filed under: uncultured fungus
Lineage: Eukaryota; Fungi
Also listed under: 1 other name
Description: partial contains 5.8S ribosomal RNA, internal transcribed spacer 2, and large subunit ribosomal RNA
Rfam family: 5.8S ribosomal RNA (bases 1-52)
Source: RNAcentral
AACGCACAUUGCGCCCUGUGGUAUUCCGCAGGGCAUGCCUGUUCGAGCGUCAUUUCAACCCUCAAGCUCUGCUUGGUGUUGGGCCCUGCCCGCUCGCGGCCGGCCCUAAAGACAGUGGCGGCGCCGUCCGGCUCUGAGCGUAGUACAUCUCUCGCUCCAGCGCCUGGCGGUGGCCUGCCAGAACCCCAACUCUGUGGUUGACCUCGGAUCAGGUAGGGAUACCCGCUGAACUUAA